Molecule: non-coding RNA, 30 nt
Filed under: Macaca fascicularis (crab-eating macaque)
Lineage: Eukaryota; Metazoa; Chordata; Mammalia; Primates; Cercopithecidae
Also listed under: 1 other name
Source: RNAcentral
UGCUGCCCGUCCUCGCCUAGGUGUGGAGCU